This 98-nucleotide transfer RNA is filed under the name Puccinia sorghi. It matches the Rfam family "tRNA". From Rfam's summary of the family: Transfer RNA (tRNA) molecules are approximately 80 nucleotides in length. Their secondary structure includes four short double-helical elements and three loops (D, anti-codon, and T loops). Further hydrogen bonds mediate the characteristic L-shaped molecular structure. tRNAs have two regions of fundamental functional importance: the anti-codon, which is responsible for specific mRNA codon recognition, and the 3' end, to which the tRNAs corresponding amino acid is attached (by aminoacyl-tRNA synthetases). tRNAs cope with the degeneracy of the genetic code in two manners: having more than one tRNA (with a specific anti-codon) for a particular amino acid; and 'wobble' base-pairing, i.e. permitting non-standard base-pairing at the 3rd anti-codon position. Lineage: Eukaryota; Fungi; Basidiomycota; Pucciniomycetes; Pucciniales; Pucciniaceae. The record is from Rfam by way of RNAcentral.
GGACGCAUGGCCCAGUGGUAAGGCGCUCGCCUUCGAUGUAGGAUGAGAUCGUCUUUGAUGUGAGCGAGAGAUCGUCGGUUCGACCCCGGCUGCGUUCA